This 74-nucleotide transfer RNA is filed under the name Anaerolineales bacterium. RNAcentral describes it as "tRNA-Ile". It matches the Rfam family "tRNA". From Rfam's summary of the family: Transfer RNA (tRNA) molecules are approximately 80 nucleotides in length. The record is from RNAcentral. Lineage: Bacteria; Bacillati; Chloroflexota; Anaerolineae; Anaerolineales.
GGGAUGGUAGCUCAACCGGAUAGAGCAGGCGCCAGAUAAGCGUCAGGUUGCUGGUUCAAAUCCAGCCCAUCCCA